Molecule: ribosomal RNA, 202 nt
Filed under: uncultured bacterium
Lineage: Bacteria
Description: partial 16S ribosomal RNA
Rfam family: Bacterial small subunit ribosomal RNA
Source: RNAcentral
AGCGAACGCUGGCGGCGUGGUUUAGACAUGCAAGUCGAGCGGAAAGGCCCUUCGGGGCACUCGAGCGGCGAACGGGGGAGUAAUACCUGGGUAACCAUCCCCGGAGACGGGAAUAGCCACUGGAAACGGUGGGUAAUGCCCGAUAGCCCCCGCGGGCCGCAGGGCCGUGCGGAAGGUAAAAGGUAGACUCCGCCGUCCGGGA